UUUACGGGAGGCAGCAGUGGGGAAUAUUGCACAAUGGAGGAAACUCUGAUGCAGCAAUGUCGCGUGAGUGAAGAAGGCCCUUGGGUCGUAAAGCUCUUUUAUGGGGGAAGAUGAUGACGGUACCCCAAGAAUAAGCACCGGCUAACUAUGUGCCAGCAGCCGCGGUAAU
This 169-nucleotide ribosomal RNA is filed under the name uncultured bacterium. RNAcentral's name for it is "partial 16S ribosomal RNA". It matches the Rfam family "Bacterial small subunit ribosomal RNA", at positions 338 to 524 of the family's 1533-position model. The record is from RNAcentral.